CCUGCCCAGAAGCGGGGGAUAACACCUGGAAACAGAUGCUAAUACCGCAUAACAACUUGGACCGCAUGGUCCGAGCUUGAAAGAUGGCUUCGGCUAUCACUUUUGGAUGGUCCCGCGGCGUAUUAGCUAGAUGGUGGGGUAACGGCUCACCAUGGCAAUGAUACGUAGCCGACCUGAGAGGGUAAUCGGCCACAUUGGGACUGAGACACGGCCCAAACUCCUACGGGAGGCAGCAGUAGGGAAUCUUCCACAAUGGACGAAAGUCUGAUGGAGCAACGCCGCGUGAGUGAAGAAGGGUUUCGGCUCGUAAAACUCUGUUGUUAAAGAAGAACAUAUCUGAGAGUAACUGUUCAGGUAUUGACGGUAUUUAACCAGAAAGCCACGGCUAACUACGUGCCAGCAGCCGCGGUAAUACGUAGGUGGCAAGCGUUGUCCGGAUUUAUUGGGCGUAAAGCGAGCGCAGGCGGUUUUUUAAGUCUGAUGUGAAAGCCUUCGGCUCAACCGAAGAAGUGCAUCGGAAACUGGGAAACUUGAGUGCAGAAGAGGACAGUGGAACUCCAUGUGUAGCGGUGAAAUGCGUAGAUAUAUGGAAGAACACCAGUGGCGAAGGCGGCUGUCUGGUCUGUAACUGACGCUGAGGCUCGAAAGUAUGGGUAGCAAACAGGAUUAGAUACCCUGGUAGUCCAUACCGUAAACGAUGAAUGCUAAGUGUUGGAGGGUUUCCGCCCUUCAGUGCUGCAGCUAACGCAUUAAGCAUUCCGCCUGGGGAGUACGGCCGCAAGGCUGAAACUCAAAGGAAUUGACGGGGGCCCGCACAAGCGGUGGAGCAUGUGGUUUAAUUCGAAGCUACGCGAAGAACCUUACCAGGUCUUGACAUACUAUGCAAAUCUAAGAGAUUAGACGUUCCCUUCGGGGACAUGGAUACAGGUGGUGCAUGGUUGUCGUCAGCUCGUGUCGUGAGAUGUUGGGUUAAGUCCCGCAACGAGCGCAACCCUUAUUAUCAGUUGCCAGCAUUAAGUUGGGCACUCUGGUGAGACUGCCGGUGACAAACCGGAGGAAGGUGGGGAUGACGUCAAAUCAUCAUGCCCCUUAUGACCUGGGCUACACACGUGCUACAAUGGAUGGUACAACGAGUUGCGAACUCGCGAGAGUAAGCUAAUCUCUUAAAGCCAUUCUCAGUUCGGAUUGUAGGCUGCAACUCGCCUACAUGAAGUCGGAAUCGCUAGUAAUCGCGGAUCAGCAUGCCGCGGUGAAUACGUUCCCGGGC
Molecule: ribosomal RNA, 1267 nt
Filed under: Lactiplantibacillus plantarum
Lineage: Bacteria; Bacillati; Bacillota; Bacilli; Lactobacillales; Lactobacillaceae
Description: bacterial SSU rRNA
Rfam family: Bacterial small subunit ribosomal RNA
Source: RNAcentral